GACGAACGCUGGCGGCGUGCUUAACACAUGCAAGUCGAACGGGCCUGUCUUCUUUUUUGGGGGUGGGUUGAGUGGCGAACGGGUGAGUAUCACGUGAGUAACCUGCCCUUCGGUCCUGGAUAACCGCUUGAAAGGGCGGCUAAUACGGGGUGGUCCGGUUGGUCCGCAUGGGCUGGUCGGGAUAGAUUCACUGUUUUUGGUGUUUCGGCGGGGGAUGGGCUCGCGGCCUAUCAGCUUGUUGGUGGGGUGAUGGCCUACCAAGGCGGUGACGGGUAGCCGGCCUGAGGGGGUGGGCGGACAGACUGGGACUGAGAUACGGCCCAGACUCCUGCGGGAGGCAGCAGUGGGGGGUAUUGCACAAUGGGCGGAAGCCUGAUGCAGCGACGUCGCGUGAGGGAUGGAGGCCUUCGGGUUGUGAACCUCUGUUUCCGGUGGUGAAGGCCCUGUCCGUGUGGUGGGGUUGACGGUAGCCGGGGAUGAAGCGCCGGCUAACUACGUG
This 499-nucleotide ribosomal RNA is filed under the name uncultured bacterium. RNAcentral's name for it is "partial 16S ribosomal RNA". It matches the Rfam family "Bacterial small subunit ribosomal RNA", at positions 28 to 507 of the family's 1533-position model. The record is from RNAcentral.